This is a long non-coding RNA of Triticum aestivum (bread wheat), 1268 nucleotides long. RefSeq lists it as uncharacterized. The transcript is spliced from 5 exons. NCBI's taxonomy places the organism in Eukaryota, Viridiplantae, Streptophyta, Magnoliopsida, Poales, Poaceae. The record is from RefSeq and is a predicted model, not a curated record.
UGAGCGGCAAUAUAACAAAGAGAAAAGUGUGCCUUUCCUUGCCUUUUCCCCGACGCAAGCCGUAAAACCCUAGCCACCAACGCCGGCGCAAGCCGUAAAACCCUAAGCAACCGACGGCGGCGCUUGACGGCGAGUCGCCCCCAUCUUCCCCAACGCAAGACGCGAAACGCUAUCAGCCGACGCUUGACGGCGAGCUCUCUCUCCCCCCUACCCCCACCCCCACCCCCACUCGGGGUACUCUUGGGCGCGCAAGAUCUACGGCCUCCGGAAGAUCUUCGAGAGAGAUUGUCGGAUACCUUCUGAAAUGGCGUUCAAUCUUCUCGCUGACCAUCAUACUGAAGCUCGAAGACAAAUGUAUACUUGCAUUGUUAAUGUCAUCAGAGGUUAUUUUGAUGGGUAUCAAAUUCCUGAAGAUAUGCAGGAUUUGAUUAAUUUGAUGAGUACACAACAAAAAGAUCUUCUCUACCAAAUAAGCCCAGCACUCUUACUUCGCCAUCAAAGAUCAGAUCGAUAUACUCGACUCUAUGAGUAUGUCAAAUACAAAGUGGGCACUUUUCAGAAGGAGCUCAUACUCGAGAAGUUGCUUCAAUUGCCAUGGGUGCUCCAAUGGAAGAGCAAGGUGCCGCAGAACAAUGUACUUAAGGAAACUUUUGACUUCAUUCCGGGUAGCUAUGACCUGAAGCGCCCGACGGAUGAGCAUAAUAAUCCAACAACUCCGUGGACUGAACACGAACAGAAGCUUAAGCUGGUGGAGUUAUUGCUUGAUUUUGUGAGAAAUGGAACUGCACACCGAUCCCAAAGGAAAACCAAAGUCGAUCCAGAUCAGUUUGAAACCAUCAUUAUGGUUUUUUACCUCAUGCUACUUCCCAAGUUGCAAGAAGCUGUUUAUGAUGUGGCAGGAAAGCCUGCUCUUGUAUAUUUGGGAUUGGCCUAGCCUUAAGAGGCUACCAUUUACAGUCGGUUCAUGGUUGCUACAGUUUAUGUCCCUAUGGUGCUUCACGAAUCACGACUAUUUUCUGCCGGUGAUAUUCUUGAUCCUUCAGGUCCUCGCUCUUGCUUACUACACUACAUCCUACUUCCCUGGAGGCUCUAGUGGAUUAAAAAUUCUCUCUUCAAUUCUCCUGUCUACAGUACCAGAUGUCAUGACCCCAUCGUUUUGCUAGUACCAUCUACAAAUGUUAGGCACAUACGUUGGGAAUGGACUGAAGAAGGUUUGUUGAGCUAUUUGGUAGCACAUUUGUGGGAAUAAAGUUACUGCUAGCGAUUUA